CGCCGGCCUGGUCUGGCACGUCUACGACGACAGCUGCGUGCUGUCCAAGGGCGUCACCGACCCGAACGCCACGAUCGACACCUGGGCCGGCAAC
This 94-nucleotide transfer RNA is filed under the name Gandjariella thermophila. RNAcentral describes it as "tRNA-Arg". The record is from RNAcentral. Lineage: Bacteria; Bacillati; Actinomycetota; Actinomycetes; Pseudonocardiales; Pseudonocardiaceae.